Molecule: long non-coding RNA, 291 nt
Organism: Ixodes scapularis (black-legged tick)
Lineage: Eukaryota; Metazoa; Arthropoda; Arachnida; Ixodida; Ixodidae
Exons: 4
Source: RefSeq, a predicted model, not a curated record
GUCGUCCGAGUGGAUCCAGCUAGAGCAGAAUGCCCACUCCCAGAAAGGGACCGAGCCACUUCAGUGGCGUCGCAGGUUGCAAGCUCGAGUGAACUUACGUGCGUGUAUGUCAUCCGGCCACCCACAUGCAGUACAUGGAGCCAGACAUGUUCAAAAAGGCUAAUAAAAGGUACACAGACGCCAAAGUCUUGGUAUGUCAGCAAAGGCAUACAAACAGAAAAACCUUCGCAAACAUCGGUUGAAAUUCAGGCGUCGACCACAUCCUCCGAUGCAUUGCACAGCUGUGUUCGU